Molecule: long non-coding RNA, 23929 nt
Filed under: Setaria italica (foxtail millet)
Lineage: Eukaryota; Viridiplantae; Streptophyta; Magnoliopsida; Poales; Poaceae
Description: long non-coding RNA (SITA_LNC000920)
Source: RNAcentral
GAAGACAUUCCUGCUCCUUUAUCGUCACCAUUGCGGGAGAUUGAUUUAGGAGGUAAUCAAUUGACAGGCCCAAUACCAAAAUCACUUUUUCAGCUCACGAAUCUUGAGCGUCUCAGUCUUGAAUCGAAUAAAUUGACAGGCACAAUAGAACUUGGCUCUAUAUGGAGGUUGAAAAAUCUCACUUAUCUUAACCUGGGUAACAAUUUGAUAUCACUCGUAGAAAAAGAAGGUGAUAUGAUAUUCUCUUAUUCCCUUAAAAUCCAAGAGUUAUACCUUCCAUCUUGCAACCUUACAAAAUUUCCGGAAUCAUUAAAAUAUCUUGACACUAUUCAAGUUCUCGACCUUUCUAAUAACCAAAUCGAAGGGGCCAUACCUAGUUGGGUGUGGGAGAAUCCCCUUGUUGAGUUGGAGCUCUCACGCAACAUGUUUACUACUUUAGAGAAGUCUCCUGCUGUUCAGAUGACACAUUUAGUUUUUCUUAAUCUCAGUGUUAAUAGAAUUCAAGGAAGCAUACCAAUACCAUCAACUCCAUCCGACCUGGUUCUGUUGGAUUACUCAAAUAAUGAUUUCUCUACCAUUGAACCUAACUUUGGCAGGUAUCUUAGAAAUGCCAUCUACAUCAAUUUGUCAAAAAAUAAAUUAAGUGGCCAUGUACCACUUUCAUUUUGUAGUUUAAGCCAACUUGAGCUCAUGGACUUAUCUUACAAUAACUUUAGUGGACCAAUUCCAUCAUGUCUUAUGGAAAGAGUUGACCUGAGCAUAUUGAAGUUAAGAGGAAACAAAUUACAUGGCGUGCUACCUGAAAAUAUUAGAGAAGGAUGUAAGCUUCAGACAAUUGAUUUCAAUGAAAAUCAAAUUGAAGGUGCGCUACCUAGAUCACUAGCAAAUUGCCAAGACUUAGAGGUUCUUGAUGUUGGCAGUAAUCAUAUUGUAGAUUCAUUUCCAUCAUGGAUGGGUACUCUUCCAAAGCUUCGAAUUCUUGUGUUGAGAUCUAACCAACUGUAUGGCACUAUAAGGGAUCUUCGCAGUGGCUACCAACACUUCACAAGUUUGCAAAUAGUUGAUUUGGCCUCCAACCAUUUCUCUGGUGUCUUACAUUCUGAAUGGUUUGAGAAUUUUAUUUCAAUGAUGAAUAACAACAAUGAUGAGGGGCAGAUAUUAGAGCACGAAACAAAUGCAUCACGGGCACCAUUGUAUCAAGAUACUGUCACUAUCACAUUCAAAGAUGCUGAUUUAAGCAUCACCAAAAUCCUUACUACUUUCAAAGUAAUUGAUUUGUCAAAUAACUCAUUUGAGGGUUCCAUUCCAAGUUCAAUUGGAAGGCUUGCUUCACUUCACGGACUUAACAUGUCGCACAAUAACUUCACGGGAGAAAUUCCAUCACAACUUGGGAGGUUAACAAGGUUGGAAUCAAUAGAUCUCUCUUGCAACAAUCUCUCGGGAGAAAUUCCACAGGAGUUUACCUCCCUAACUUCUCUUUCCUGGUUGAACCUUUCGUAUAACAACUUGACGGGAAGAAUACCGCAGGGAAACCAAUUCUUGUCAUUUCCCAGCAGUUCGUUUGAAGGCAAUGCUGGUCUAUGUGGAAUUCAGCUUUCCAAGGAAUGUGACACUCGUCCAGAUUCAACCACCCCAAGCACAUUGGCUCCACAACGCAAUACUUUGUGGCAGGAUAGACUUGAUGCCAUCAUUUUGUUCCUCUGUGCUGGCUUGGGCUUUGGCGUGGGUUUUGCAUUGGCAAUCAUAUUCGGUCCCUUUUACCACAUAGAAGAAUGGCUUUGCAAGCAUUUGUAAUAGUAAUAUAAGUUUUCAACAAGAAUAAUUAUGUAUGUUUGUCUUGUUCUCGUUAUUAGAUGAGACAUUUUAAAUCCACUCAGUUGUAAUUACGUUGUAACUAGUCCAUCAACCCGUACUUCCACAUGAGCUAGUAUUUUCAAAAGCUGUUGUAUUUGAAAAUUAUUUAGAAAUUAAACACCUUGCUAAUAAUCAAAAUUAUUUACUUAUUACUCUCUCAUUUUUCAACACUUCAACGUAGUACUCAAAUAGAUGUGUACUUAUUUUUAUCCAGUUGUGAUUGAUUUUUAAUUAGUAAUUACUCUAUACACUUUUUCAUCCACAUUCACACUUUUUUAUUUUAUAUCACACCUCCAUAAAUUGUGUUUAGCAUCAAAAUUAAUAUUUUUCAUCACUUCCUCACAUACAUGUAUAAAUGGUCUACAUGGUGUCAUUCAUCAUGUCUAUAUACCUUAAUUUAAUAUUUCUAUAUUAACAAUGACAUAAACUGGUAAUUUAAAAUCAUAUAUUAGUUUAUUUUUGGAUAUUUCUGUAUGAUGCACAUGCAUGAAGAUAAUUAAAUUAAGAAUUAUCUGUUUACUUUAGAUUAUUUUUAAAAACGACGUACAUGGGUAACUUAGAUACAAAUUUAGAAUGACAUUUUAAGUUAUGCUUUAUAACGAUAGUCAUGAUUAAAUUGGAUGAAGAUUAUGGGUUACUUUACAUUAUCUUUUAUAAUGGCAGGUAAAUUAGAUAUAGGUUUAGGGUUUAUAAUGAUAGUGGUGGGUAAGUUUUUAGAAAAUAUAAUAGACCAAUGACUAUGAUUAAUAUAGUUUGCAUGAUUGAUAUUUGAUAUUUAUGAUUAUUGUGAGAAUUUCUAGGAUUUGUGUUUUUUAGCGUAUCUCUUGAGAACUAAUGCAGAGUCUCCAAUGAAAAAAAAAUAAGGCCACAUCGCUAAAAAAAUUACCUUGAGCUAUUUCUCAUUUAUUAAAUAUUGAAACACAAUAGUUAUAUAGAUAUAUAAUUAUGAUCGAUAGAUUUUAAUUGGUAAUUUCUCUUCAACAUUUUCAUCCACAUUUGUAUUGAAGAUAUGCGCUUGAAUUUGUUUAAUGGAUCUUAAGUUUGAGCUAUCAUUUUAACAUAGAAAUUUGUAUUUCCAUCACUUUCUCUAUAUCUUUAUGAAUGGUGACACACAUCAUGCCUAUAUACCUUAAUUAUUAUAUCGUAUACCUACAGCGUAAGAAAUAGACGAUUUAAUAUCGUAUUUUGAUGUAUAUUUUUAUUUAAGGUGAUUUGGAUUCAAAUGUAGUUUACCUCAUGUUAUUUCUAAAUAGCAUAUGUGGGUAAUAAAGAUGCAAAUUUAAGGGGUCAUGUUAACUUAUUUUUUAAGUAUUAGUGGUGGGAUAUUUAGUUGCAAAUUUAGGGGGUUAUUUUAAAUGUUAUUUAUAAUGGUAUAAGUGGGUAACUUUGAUAAAGAUUAGGUGGUUACUUUAGUUUAGUUUAUAUAAUGGUAGAGGUGGGUAAUUUAGAUAUAGACUAGCAAAAUAUCGUGCGUUGCUACGGUAAAAGAUCAAUUCUAAUGAUAUUUUUUAUUUCCAUCACUAAAUUUUUAUUCCACUUAUUGGACGUCUACACAUUUAAUAGAAAACUAAAAGAAUUUUGACUUAAUUAUUUCCUUCAACUCAAAUACCCAUUACAUUAAAAUAUUUUUUAUUCAAGCAAGAGAGUUAAAUCAGCCUCAUAUGGCCACCGAUGGGGCUCUUUAGUCCUUCUAGCCAUGUAAUAUCUUUUCACAUGUAUUUCAUCAAACAGGAGACGGCACGCUCAAACUUUUCCAUCAUGCACAUCCCGUUGUAGGUACGGUGGCUUAGGUUACACCUUAUUUGGAUGGGCUAUAACUACCUUUUAAAUGGUUAAUUAGGGGGUGUUUAGUAGCACUCAACUUCAAUUUUUUUAGCUCCACUCUACCAACUCCACUCCAGUUUAAUUUUUUUAGCUCCACUCCACUUCAACUCCACUCUACCAACUUGAGAAAAAUAAUAAAGUUGUCUACGUACUUGGCAGAAACAUGCCGUGCCCCCCCCCCCCCCCCCCCCCCCGCAAUAGCAAACCAACAGGCUGCCUUCUUCACCGGUCAAGCAAGCUGCUUGCUCCUCUCUCAAAUCCGAACAACAGUGCAACGCCCGAACAACAGUGCAACGACGGGCGGAGAGCCUGGCGCGAGCGGAGCAGCAGCCUAACCCUGGCCAUGACCUCCACCCCGACGAUCCAAGCAGCAGCAGCGUGGCCCCUGCUCCGGCCCCGACCCCAGCGAGGUGACCCAACCGUGGAGGGCAGGGGCGGCGCGGCCACGGUGGGACCUCCCCUGGUCGCCUCGGCGGGCAAGAGGAUCCUGAAGCCCUAAAACGUGCCGAAAGCAGUUACCUGAGACACUGUUACAGUAACCUUUGGGGGUGGAGCAUCACAGCAAUACAGCACAGAGUAAAAUCUCUGAGGAUUCCAUGCUUUUUGCGACAGCAACUCUCGUUAGUACGUACAGGCAAGUGAUGCAAAACAUGGCAUAACUACAUCUAAAGCAUUAUCUGCUCUUUACAUGCUGAUUUUAACUCUGUACAGCAAGGAAACGGGAGCAUUUUUUUCCCCUGAAAAUCUGUAUAGUUCUGAAGUGUUGUACAUCUUCGUAAAAGAUUAAUUGAAAAAUGAUAUAGCACAACAUACAACCACACUUGCUAAUUCAAACGACACGAAGCAACACCUCAUAUAGAUCCAAUUCCAACAAAUAUAAGCAGAACAUAUGUCCCAUUUUCCAUCAAACAAGUUUUGUACAAAAGUUCUAUAAGCGGAUUAGCACCACCUCAUAUCUUUUUUACAGUAUACAACCAUAAGAAAAAUAGAAAAAUAAGAGUCGCCAGAUUUCUGUGGCAUGCGAGUGCGAUAGGGUAGCUGAGGUCACCUAUACGAGGGGCGAUAGGGGGAUCUGCUACGGAUGGGGCUUGGACUUCGGUCCCUGCAGCCCCUCCGGCCGCGGUACCGCGCGGGGGGUGGCGACCGCGACAGGUCGCGCGGCAUCGCGCGCGACGAGAUCUAGAGCCUCCGCGGAGCCCGGAACCCCACGGAUCUGGCCGAGACCCGACGAUCGGAGAGGCACGGUGGUUGAAAGGAGGUCAGUGAAGGGGGGUUGAAGAUGCCGGUAGCUCAGCACAGUGGCACAACUGAGCAUUCCUUUCCUCAAUCUCCCGAUUCAUGUCAUCCCACUUCUGAUCUAGUUCCUCGAGCUUGGCCAGUAUCACAGCACACAUCUCCUCCGUCAUGUUCACUCGUGUUCCGAUGCGGUGGUAGUGGUGGUUUUUUGAUCGAAAUAGUUGUGAACCAAAUGUCACACCCUAGAUGCAACUCACAGAACAAAUUAUCCCCCAACGAUGAACUACGGAAUAUAUAUAUGAAGUAUACUAGAAUUUGGAUACACAUGGAUGAGGAACUCGCUAGUGUUCUCGAGCCGAAGCUUGCCACCGCAGAGCCAAUGAGUCCCAAAUCCAGUUCUUCUUUCCCUCACGACGACUUUUUAAUCCUCUUACAUGCUGCGCCAGCUAUGCUGCAGCGAUGCCCGUUCAUGGGCCUAUCUUAACUACCUUAGCCAUUCGGGCCCAACAAGGAUAAUGUUGGGCUUCCGUACCUGAUGGCCCACAACUUCGGCUUUACUGCACUUUAGAUAAAUAUCAUGUACGGUUCACUAGAGAAGCCUCCACCAGUGAUAGUUGCUAGUUAGUACAGGUCUUAUCUACAACCUUGCAUUAGCUAUCUCACUCUAGUUUGGCUAGCUGUCUGCUUACUCGAAGCUUGAGGCAUGUUUCUUUAAUAUAGUUUUCUUUUCUUCUUGGAUGUUUAUAGCACAUACGUGAUCUUUUGAAGUACUGCUAUAGAGAGGAAGACAAGUUCUUCUCAUUUAACAUCUUUUUUUUUUCAAUUUAUUUUUGUUAAACUUUUAGAUCAAUCGUUUGAAUUCUCCUCAAUAUUUGCUUGCUUCAUGUUCUCUUUGUUUUUGUGCAACAGUAUGAUCUUGGAAUAGGAAUGCUGCAAGACAAUUCAAAUAGAAGGUUAGUUUCAUCAUAUUAUAUGGUUAAAAUUACUUUAAAAUUAUAUGGUUAAAAUUACUUUGUAAUGGUUGACUGUCACUGUUGUUUGCAUUGGCAGAUCAUGGAUGGAAUUCCUGCAAGAGCCAAGCACAAACUGUUGUCAGCGCUUCUCUGUUGAUGUUUCGUUUCUCGUUACCACCUUUCUUGCAGACCGGUUAGGGUUAGGUUACACCAUCUGCUUCAGGUGAUUUCGGGAAUGUGGAAUGUUUCCUCUUCAUUUGAGAAGAAAGAGAGAGUGUUUUGUUCGAAUAUUACAGGUGCGUAUGUUUAUGCAUGGCUUUUCAGGGCUCAAAUCAAGGGGAAAAAAUAGACUAAUGGGCUGGUAAAUUUAUGUUCUGGUAAAAAUAGACUAAUGGCUUUAUUUAGUUCCAAGAAUCCUGGUGAACUCCGGAACUUAAAAUGAAAUCCUAAAAUUGUUUCUCUAACCUCCUAUCUCAAUAUGGGCUGUUCUUUUUUUUUUUCUUUCUGGUCAACUAUUUCCCCCAACUUACGGACCCAUCUCGGCCUGCAGGCCUGCCGAGGCCUCUUCUCUCCUUUCGUCGUUCGGUCCCUCUAAUUUCGCUCUUGUGCUUGCGCACCAGGCGCCAUCUCUCACCGCGCCAGGAGCUUUGCAGCGCCAGACGGCCCCGCUCCACACCACAAUAUUCUUCCUUGGAACCUGCGGGCUCCGCUGAGCCGCUGCGUGAUCUUCUAUUCGCGACUCUGUGUACCUCGCCGUGUUACAAUUGCCUUCACUUUACUUCAUCAUUGCUCUCUAACCUAGGUACUCGGUUAUGAACAGCGCGCCGGCUAAGCGAGUACCCGGUGAAGGCGAGCGCAACGAGCCCUAGCACAUGGCAUCCAUCGAAAACUACAUAAUUUUCAGAGUAUGGAAUUUUCAGUCCGCGGUGUGGCCAACAUUAUCUUUAUAUGAUUAUAUUUGCAAACAGAGUUUUUAAGUAACAACGCAAAUAAAACACUCUCGUGUCAUUGCUCUAAAGGGGGAGAAAGGAAUAACAGAAACAACACCGUGCCAUUCCCCAGAAACAAAGAACAACGGUAAAAGUGGUUCUAGAUGAAGCUUAAAUUGACCAUCGAUGGCGAUUGUAUCGACACGGCAAACAUCCAGACAGCUAGCAUUGACUGACUUGGCCUAUUGAGUACUCCGCGGAACUCGGUACGUCUUAUGACAAGUCUCGUUUGACUCGAAUUAUUGACCUUCACUGUCCUUCGUCAUUGCUCUCUAACCUAGGUACUCGGUUAUGAACAACGUGCCGGCUAAGUGAGUACUCGGUGAAGGCGAGCCCAACUUGCCCCAGCACAUCGCAUCCAUCGAAAAUACAGAAUUUCCAAAGUAUGGAAUUUUCAGUGUGCGUUGUGGCCAACACUAUCUUUAUAUGUUUUAUUUGCAAACCGAGUUUUUAAGUAACAACGCAAAUAAAACACUCUCGUAUCAUUGCUCUAAAGGGGGAGUAAGGAAUAACAGAAAUAACGUCGUGCCAUUCCCCGGAAACAAAGAACAACCGUAAAAAUUGGUUCUAGAUGAAGCUAAAUUGAUCAUCGAUGGCGAUUGUAUCGACACGGCAAACAUCCAGACAGCUAGCAUUGACUGACUUGGCUGAUACAUCCACUUCACUGUUGAGUACUCCAGGGAACUCGACAGGUCUUAUGACAAGUCUCGGUUGACUCGAAUUGUUGACCUUAGGACAGUGACCUUGAUUUCCUCAUCCCCUUUCCUAUUGUCUUGCGGUCCUGAUGCCCAUUACCCAGUGCCUACCAGUGUGUGCUUCUCCCUCCGAUUGUACAUACGUGCGGGUCCCACAUGUCAGCCCCUUCCAUCCUCUUUACUUUAUAAUCUCCAAAGCAUGGGCCGCCCUUCUUUGUUACCUGUAUGGCUGUAUCACCUCCCCUGCCGAUGAGUGCCCAUGCAUGCUGAUACUUUGGUACCAUCUGCUCCAACCAAGCACCACCUCUCAUGCAAGUCAACAUAGAUGGUAUUUGGUGUCAAUUCACUGGUUAUAUUUUUAAAUGAAUUUAAUAUAAAUUUUGAUUAUCUAUUGCUUCUAAAUUCCUGUCGAAAUUAAUUUGAUAAUUUUUUAACCUAUAAUAUCCUAUACUUCAUUUUAUGAGGAAACUAUCAGAAAAUGAAUUGUAAUUUUUAUGACUCAUAUCUAUUUCCUCUCUUUAUUAGAUAUUUUGCUUUCCAAUUGUAUGUAAUCAAACUUUUAUUUAUUUUUAUCAUUCGGAGUUUUAGUUUUUUAUUACUUCCAUGUCAAGAUGAUAUUCUGGACAAGAUUCCAAUCAACCUUUUGAAAAUCUAACCACUAUUGACAGCUUUUAGAAUAUUCAGUUUGAAAAUUUAGAAUACUCAUUGAAAGACAUAAUAUAAUAUUUUGUAUGUUUAUAUAAUAUCUUCUUACUGAAAAUAGUGGCCACACAGCUAUGUUAUCCAAAACACCACCUUUUCUUUAAGAACGGGGGAACGAUUGUUUUUUUUCUAUUUUAUUAAUAUGAUAUUUUAUAGUCAAUCCGGAGACUUGUUUUCUCUUAGCUUUGCCUUAUUAAAAUAACAAUUGAAGAUUCCGUAAUGUGUGGUUCAGAUAUUUACUUCCAUGCGAGUUUAUAUUUUGGCUCCAGUUCGCUGGUCUUCCUCUCGAGUCAGCGACCGGAACGAGAGAACAGAAUAUCUACACACGAUUGAUUGGAAUUUGGAAACUGCAAACCAGUAGCGCAAUGGCUCCUGCCAUGGAUCGCCUCCACAACCUUCUGGUCCUGCUCUUGUUCAUAGGUUGCCUCUUCAUAGAUGCUGCCGCCAAGCUUAACACCACAGCGCCUUGCCUCCCGGAUCAAGCUUCUUCCCUCCUCCGGCUAAAAGCUUCCUUCAUCGGUGACAACCUACCAUCAUGGCAAGCUGCAACAGAUUGUUGCCACUGGGAGGGCGUCACCUGCGACAUGGCCUUUGGAAGAGUCAUUUCUCUUGACCUCAGUGAGUUCCACCACCUAAUGAGCAGUCGUCUUGAUCCUGCGCUCUUCAACCUCACCUCUCUCAGGAACCUCAGCCUUGCAUCUGUUGACUUCAGAGGAGUCUCGCUCCCGGCUUUUGGGUUUGAGCGGCUCACGGAUAUCAUUUACCUCAACCUCUCUGAUACCGGUUUUAUGGGUAAGAUCCCAAUUGGAAUUGCGUGCCUCAAGAACCUUGUGACCAUUGACUUGUCUUAUAAUUACGAAUUGUAUUUUGAACGGCCAAGUUUCCAAACCAUCAUGGCAAAUAUGAGCAAUCUGAGGGAGCUUUAUCUUGAUGAAGUGGGUUUACAGAACAUCGGAUCGGAUUGGUCCACUGUUUUAGCAGACUCCGUUCCCCAGCUACAGAUUCUUAGCUUGCCCUGGUGUGGUUUAUCAGGUUCUAUCCACCCUUCAUUCUCAAGGCUUCGCUCACUUACGGUGAUCAACCUCAGAUACAAUGAUGGACUCACCGGCAAAGUCCCGGAGUACUUUUCUGAACUAUCUUCCUUGACCAUUUUAGACAUAUCAGGAAGUCAAUUUGAAGGGCAAUUUCCAACAAAAAUAUUCCAGCUAAAAAGUUUGAGGACGCUUGAUUUGUCCUGGAACCCCAUGCUUUCUGUGAGAUUAACAUAUUUCCCAGCUGGAAACAAUUUGGAAGUACUAAAUCUAGAAGGGACCAAUUUGUCUUAUGACACGCCAUUGGGGCAAUCUCGAGUCUUUAAAGACAUUGGGGCUUAGCACGAUGGGAAUUGAUAAUGAACUCUUCUCUUUGAUAUCUGAGCUUCCAGCAUUGGAUUACCUGCGACUCACUGGAUCAGAUUUGGAGAACCCGGUAUUAUCUUGGGUCAGCAAUCUUACCCAAUUGACAAACCUGGUGCUUGAAGGUUAUGACUUCUCAAACUCGGUUCCCACUUGGAUCGGCAAAUUGACAAGGCUGGAAAUUUUGACAAUAUGGGAUUGCAGUUUCUCCGUGCCAAUACUGUACCAGAUUAGAAAUCUUACUAAAUUGGCAGCGCUGGAGUUCACUGGUUGCGACUUAUCUGAGCAAACAAUGCCAUCAUGGAUAGGCAAUCUUACAAAGUUGACUUCUUUGACCAUUGAAGAUUGCAGUUUAUCUGGGCCAAUACCCUCUACAAUUGGAAACCUGAUCCAACUUGAAGAGUUGGUGUUCUGGGAUACUAACAUCAGCGGUGAGACUAUGUCCCUGUUACUUUCUUUCUAGAUACCUCCUUUUAUUUUGCAACUGUAGACAGAUCAUACACCUACUAUAUGACACGCCAUGCAUACACCGUUAAAAAAAUAAUAAUGAAUUUAAGUGAAGAAGAAAAUUUAACACUACCAAAUCGACAGAGUGAUCUUCAGAAAACAAGAAAAAGGCUUUGGCUAGUAAUUUUCGGCAAUGUUGAGAAAAGAAAAACACUGAUAUUUUCACUUUGAGUCUAUGACCAAUUUCCAUAGUUUAGUAGUUUGGAAGGUUAGAUGCCUUUAACACUAGUACACACGAGUCACGACUCAGGUCCUCUUUUCCUUCUUUUUUCUGUAAAUAUAGUAUUGGUCCAUUUACAAAUAUACCAAGGAAUAUUAAUUUUUUUGGACAGGCCUUUUUUUAUUAUUUUGACCAGAUUUACAUGUAAAUGUUCUCUAACGAUAAAUCAACUUUAGAAUAUAUCAUUUGUAGAUCGAAACACUGGAUCUGUUAAAAUAUAUAUUGAAUAUGUUGUGUUAAAAUUGUUCGGCUUUCCCUGGUCUAAGGCCUCUUUGAAACAAAGGAACAACAAAAGGAAGGACUAGGUUUUUUGAGCAUGGUCUCUCUCCCUCUCUCUCUCUCAAACCUGAGCGUGGUCUGGAUUUUCUACUUGUUAUGAUUUGUGAAGGAAGAGGACCCUUUCUUGUGGAAUUGGAAUUGGAGGGUGCAUUCCAAAAUUCCAAAAUUCAAACGGUUCUUUCCUUUCCUCCAGAACGCAGUUACUUUUGUGUCCUUACCCCCUCAGUGUCGUGGCUUCUUUAGGCCAGUCUCAAUGCACAAUUUCAUUGCAAUGUUACAAAAAUUGCAAAUUUGGUAACUGUGCAGGUAGGGUUUCAUGAGGAUGAAACUCCUCUCUCAUUUCAUGAAACUCCAUCCUCUCUCUCCUCAUAAAGACCUUGACAAAUCAGCAAAAUUGCUGAUGUGGUAUAGAAAUUAAUGCUGACGAAACUUUUUAUAACACUUCCACUAAGACUGGCCUUAGAUUGCAGCAACAUUCGGAUAUGUCUAGCUCCAAUGUAAUGAGAUGCUAAUUUGUUUCAAUUUCAUACUAGCGCUUUUAGUGUGAAGAAGCAUUAAUAAAGUCUACAACAUUCUAACUGUUGGUAUUCUACCCUAACAUGCAGGAAAAAUUCCGAAGUCUUUGUUCGCUCUUCCAGUCCUGCAGCAGCUUCAUCUAGUUAGGAAUCAGCUUGUUGGCCCACUAGAAGACAUUCCUGCUCUUUUAUCGUCACCAAUGCGGGAGAUCGAUUUAGGAGGUAAUCAAUUGACAGGCCCAAUACCAAAAUCACUUUUUCAGCUCACGAAUCUUGAGCGUCUUCUUCUAGCUGAGAAUCAGCUUGUUGGUUCACUAGAAGACAUUCCUGCUCCUUUAUCAUCACCAUUGCGGGAGAUCGAUUUACAAGGUAAUCAAUUGACAGGUCCAAUACCAAAAUCACUUUUUCAGCUCACGAAUCUUGAGUAUCUCAAUCUUGGCUCGAAUAAAUUGACAGGCACAAUAGAACUUGGCUCUAUACGGAGGUUGAAAAAUCUCAUUAUUCUCGACCUGGGUAACAAUAUGAUAUCACUCGUAGAAAAAGAAGGUGAUACGAUAUUCUCUUAUUCCCUUAAAAUCCAGACCUUAUACCUUGCAUCUUGCAACCUUACAAAAUUUCCGGAACCAUUAAAAUAUCUUGACACUAUUCAAUAUCUCGACCUUUCCAAUAACCAAAUCGAAGGGGCCAUACCAAGUUGGGUGUGGGAGAAACCACUGCUUCAGUUGAACCUCUCACACAACAUGUUUACUACUUUAGAGAAGUCUCCUACUGUUCAGAUGACACAUUUAAAUUCUCUUGAUCUCAGUUCUAAUAGAAUUCAAGGAAGCAUACCAAUACCAUCAACUCCAUCCGACCUGAUUCUGUUGGAUUACUCAAAUAAUAACUUCUCUACCAUUGAACCGAACUUUGGCAGGUAUCUUACAAAUGCCCACUACAUCAAUUUGUCAAAAAAUAAAUUAAGUGGCCAUGUACCACUUUCAUUUUGUAGUUUAAGCCAACUUGAGCACAUGGACUUAUCUUACAAUAACUUUAGUGGACCAAUUCCAUCAUGUCUUAUGGAAAGAGUUGACCCGAGCAUACUGAAGUUAAGAGGAAACAAAUUACAUGGCGUGCUACCUGAAAAUAUUAGAGAAGGAUGUAAGCUUCAGACAAUUGAUUUCAAUGAAAAUCAAAUUGAAGGUGCGCUACCUAGAUCACUAGCAAAAUGCCAAGACUUAGAGGUUCUUGAUGUUGGCAGUAAUCAUAUUGUAGAUUCAUUUCCAUCAUGGAUGGGUACUCUUCCAAAUCUUCGAAUUCUUGUGUUGAGAUCUAACAAACUCUAUGGCACUAUAAGGGAUCUUCGCAGGGGCUACCAACACUUCACAAGUUUGCAAAUAGUUGAUUUGGCCUCCAACCAUUUCUCUGGUGACUUACAUUCCGAAUGGUUUGAGAAUUUUAUUUCAAUGAUGAAUAACAGCAAUGAUGAGGGGCAGAUAUUAGAGCACCAUCCAACUGGACCAAUGACACGAUUGUAUCAAGAUACUGUCACUAUCACCUUCAAAGAUGCUGCUUUAAGCAUCACCAAAAUCCUUCGUGCUUUCAAAGUAAUUGAUUUGUCAAAUAACUCAUUUGAGGGUUCCAUUCCAAGUUCAAUUGGAAGACUUGCUUCACUUCACGGACUUAACAUGUCGCACAAUAACUUCACGGGAGAAAUUCCAUCACAACUUGGGAAGUUAACAAGGUUGGAAUCAAUGGAUCUCUCUUGCAACCAUCUCUCGGGAGAAAUUCCACAGGAGUUUACCUCUCUAACUUCUCUUUCCGUGUUGAACCUUUCGUACAACAACUUGACAGGAAGAAUACCGCAGGGAAACCAAAUCUUGUCAUUUCCCAGCAGUUCGUUUGAAGGCAAUGCUGGCCUAUGUGGAAUUCAGCUUUCCAAGGAAUGUGACCCUCGUCCAGAUUCAACCACCCCAAGCACAUUGGCUCCAGAACACAAUGCUUUGUGGCAGGAUAGACUUGAUGCCAUCAUGUUGUUCCUCUGUGCUGGCUUGGGCUUUGGCGUGGGUUUUGCAUUGGCAAUCAUAUGCGGUCCCUUUUACCACAUAGAAGAAUGGCUUUGCAAGCAUUUGUAUUAGUAAUAUAAGUUUUCAACAAGAAUAAUUAUGUAUGUUUGUGCUGUACUCGUUAUUAGAUGAGACAUCUUAAAUCCACUCAGUUGUAAUUACGUUGUAACUAGUCCAUCAACCCGUACUUCCGCAUGGGCAAAUAUUUUUAAAAGCUGUUGUAUUUGAAAAUUAUUUAGAAAUUAAACUCCUAGCUAAUAAUCAAAAUUGUUUACUUAUUACUCUCACAUUUUUUCAAUACUUCAACAUAGUACUCAUAUAGAUGUGUACUCAUCUUUGUCUAGUUGUGAUUGAUUUUUAAUUAGUAAUUACUCUAUACACUUUUUCAUCCACAUUCACACCUUUCCAUUUUUUAUUGCACCUCCGUACAUUGUGUUUAGCAUCAAAAUUAAUAUUUUUCAUCACUUUAUCACAUACAUGUAUAAAUGGUCUACAUGGUAACACUCAUCAUGUCUAUAUACCUUAACUUAGUAUUUCUAUAUUAACAAUGACAUAAACUAGUAAUUUAGAAUCAUAUAUUAGUUUGUUUUUAGACAUUUCUAUAUGAUGCAUAUGCAUGAAGAUAAUUAGAUUAAGAAUUAGGUGUUUACUUUAGAUUAUUUUUAAAAAUGACAUACAUGAGUAACUUAGAUACAAAUUUAGAAUGGCAUUUUAAGUUAUGCUUUAUAAUUGUAGGCAUGGGUAAAUUGGAUGAAGAUUAUGGGGUUACUUUACAUUAUUUUUUUAUAAUGGUAGGGCUUGGUAAUUUAGAUAUAGGUUUGGGGUUUACAAUGACAGUGGUGGGUAACUUUUUAGAAAAUAUAAUAGACCAAUGACUAUGAUUAAUAUAGUUUGCAUGAUUGAUAUUUGAUAUUUAUGAUUUUUGUGAGAAGUAAUUGUGUUUUUUUAGCAUAUCUCUUAAGAACCAAUGCAGAGUCUCCAAUGGAAAAAAAUGAGGCCACAUUGCUAUAAAACUAUUACCUUGAGCUCCUUCUCAUUUGUUAAAUAUUCAAAAACAUACUUAUAUAGAUAUAUAAUUAUUAUCUUCACCCGAUUGCGAUAGAUUUUAGUUUGUAAUUUCUCUUUAACAUUUUCAUCCAUAUUUAUAAUCUUUAAUUUUUCACUUUGCAUUGCAAAUAUGCGCUUGAAUUUGUUUAAUGGAACCUAAGUUUGAGCUAACAUUUUAACAUAAAAAUUUAUAUUCCCAUCACUUUAAUUCUCUAUAUCUUUAUAAAUGGUGAAAGACAUCUUGCCUAUAUACCUUAAUUAUUAUAUGAUAUACCUAUAGUGUAAGAAAUAGAUGAUUUAGAAUCAUAUAUUGGUGUAUAUUUUGAAUUAAGGUUAUUUGGAUUCAAAUGUAGGGUUACCUCAUGUUAUUUUUAAUAAUAGCAUAUAUGGGUAAUAUAGAUGCAAAUUUAAAGGGUCAUGUUAAGUUAUUUUUUAAGUAUUAGUGGUGGGCAAUUAGUUGGUAAUUUAGGAGGUUAUUUUAAAUAUUAUUUAUAAUGGUACAUGUGGGUAAUUUUGAUAAAUAUUAGGGGUUAGUUUAGUUUAGUUUAUAUAAUAGCAUAUGGGUAAUUUAGAUGUAGAUUUAGGGGUUACUUUAGGCUAUUUUCAUAAUGGCAUAGGUGGAUAAUUUUUUUUAGAAAAACAUAAUAGAUCUAAUGGCUAUGAUGAGUUGAGUCUACAGAUUGAUGGCCAGAUGUUUUGCUUUUUUAUGAGAAUUUCUACGAUAAGAAAUGCAGCGGUGGUCCUCUCUAUAAAAUUUGCAUGGGUCUUAAAGCAGACAAACUUAUUAAUUAAAUAUUUUUUAGUUAUCUUUAUUCUGGGUCUCUUCUAGGCCAGCCCAGUCCAUGUCCAGAUGAGUCUGUUUCCUCCCGAUCCGUUUUAGUCCCUCUGAACGGCGGCUCAUGUUCCUCGCGAAAAGAACGGAGCAACGAUGGCUUGCGGCGGCGCUCCAUGGCAGUGGCACAUCAUAAAGGCGGUGGAAGCAUCCAACAUGUGGUUGGACUGAAACAUUUUCAUGAUUAUUCCUUCUGUGAAGUUAGUCACCUUGCAAUGUGCAAGCUAGAAACAAUAUCAUUGCAAGCAUAAUAAGGUACAACAUCUGCAAUGUUUCUCAUGAAUGUGUGGAAUGGCCUCCGGACACGACGUCCGCAAAACGGUCAGGAAUAAUGAACCAAGUAGCAAUUAAUGUGCAGGCGCCGUAUGUAGAGCAGGUUGGGAUUUGGGAAGUCCGGUGUCACUGCAGUCCACCUCGUCCGGUAGCACGAUUACACCUGCCUGACGAGGAGAUGGUACCGCUACAUGUGCUAAGGACGUCGAGUUGUCGAGGUCCCAGCUAGACGCGCGACUCUCUCUUGGUGCAGCCGUUUCCCUCUCCGGGCAGUGGCGAUCUCACUCACCGGCGCAGCUCCGUGCAGCCGCUACAUGUGCACCUCCAUUAUUGAUUAUGUCGGCCACUGAUAUUCUCUUUAUCCAAUCCAAUCAAAUCCAAUCGUAUUGGCUGGGUAGGAGUGGGCGAGGCGAGGCAAGGCCCAAGAUUAUCCCACUGCUAAAAAAAUUAAGAAAUAAACUAAUCUUGUUGCUUUGAAACGCGUGCUAAUUUUUAGAAAGGGACCACCAGAGCAUUUCUCUUCUAUGAUUUCUCUCUUUUUCUAAGUGUCCACUUAGGAUUCUAGGUAGUUUCACCUGAAGGCUUCAGAAGGAGUCUCUAAUUAGUAAUAUUUACUGAAUUUCAUAAGGCCCCGUUUGGAUCAUUGGAAUUGAAUUCCAUCAUAAUAAUCAUAAUUUAGACACAAAUUAAUUAAGCUAAUAUAAUUGUAUGUGAAAUAUAGUUGUAUAUUAUAGUUGGUGAUAUGGGAGAGAUACUUAUGUGCUGCACUUCUACCAUAGAGAAGCGAGUCUAAGAGCGUGCUAUAAGAAUUGAAUUCCAUUCUAAUAACCAUAAUCUAUAGAAUCAAUUUCCAUCUCCCACCCCAUGAAUUUAAGAUAAGCUUAUAUAUAAACUUUGGAAAGUUGUGGAAUGCCACAUUCCAACAUAAAUUAGCCUACUCCAUUAAAUAGAUUCCAAUUCCUUCAUACCAAACGGGGCCUAAGUGAUUUUCAAAGAGAGUUUUUUUUUGACAGCACUCCAAGUCUCCAACUUGAUAUCAACUGAAACUGAAAGCCGGCCAAGGUGCUGGUUGUAUCUGAGUACCACUAUCCAGAAUCUCCACUUGUAUUGGCGGUGGCCAUGGAUGCUUCAGAAGCUCACCAUCUCUACUUGGCUGAAUGGCGUCCACAAUAUUGGCCUUAGAUCAUCUGCACUGUGCAAUGCAUGUUACCGGCAUUACCCUGAACACCUUGAGGGCAUUGUAGACACCAGUGCCAAUACACAGCAGAAACAUGUCAUCUGUUAGAGCCGGGCUCUCGCUGGUGAUUUGGAAGUCGCAGACGUUGUUGCUGUUGAUUGUGGUGAACAAAGUUAGGGUGGUGGCUAGAGCACUCGCGGUCGGUGGAACACAAGCAUUGUGGAUAUGACUGGGCAUUGAACAUCUGGUGGGCGUCACGGAUUAGCACUCCGUAGUGGUGAUAGAGAUGGCUAGGGUGGCAUCCUGGUCAGAGUAGAGGUGGAUGUAGAGGGAAGUGCCGAGGAUGCGGUCUUGGACACCAGAAUGCAGGUGUCAUGGUAAAGGGAAGUCUUUGGACACCUUGUGGGCGCCAUCUCUAGAACCUCGGUGGCCCUGACAGAACGAUGCGGAAAGCUGUUGGUUAUGCCGAGGUCAUGGCUGUAGGCACUUGAAAGCAGGUGGCCUGGUUAGGACCCGCCAUCGAACACCUGGUGGGCGCCACUGGUUGAAGCUCCGUGGCCGUGAUGAGAAUGACAACAGAGGCAUCCCGUGGUGGAAAGGAGGUCAGUGAAGGGGGGUUGAAGAUGCCGGUGGCUCAGCACGGUGGCACAACUGAGCAUUCCUUUCCUCGAUCUUCCGAUUCAUGUCAUCACACUUCUGAUCUAGUUCCUCGAGCUUGGCCAGUAUCACAGCACACAUCUCCUCCGUCAUGUUCACUCGUAUUCCGAUGCAGUGGUAGUGGUGGUUUUUGAUCGAAAUAGCUGUGAACCAAAUGUCACACCCUAGAUGCAACUCACAGAACAAAUUAUCUCCCAACAAUGAACUACGGAAUAUAUAUGGAGUAUACUAGAAUUUGGAUACACAUGGAUGAGGAACUCGCUAGUGUUCUCGAGUCGAAGCUUGCCGCCGCAGAGCCAAUGAGUCCCAAAUCCAGUUCUUCUUUCCCUCAUGACGACUAUUUUAUCCUCUUACAUGCUGCGCCAGCUAUGCUGCAGCGAUACCCGUUCAUGGGCCUAUCUUAACUACCUUAGCCAUCGGGCCCAACAAGAAUAACGUUGGGCUUCCGAACCUGAUGGCCCACAACUUCAGCUUUACUUCACUUAAGAUAGUUGCUAGUUAGUACUCCCUCCGUCCCAAAUUAUAGGUCGUUUUGACUUUAUUAGAUUCAUAGACUUUGUUAUGCACUUAGAUAUCUAGAUGCAUAAUAAUAUCUAUGUAUCUAGAAAAGUCAAAACGAUCUAUAAUUUGGAACGGAGGGAGUACAUGUCUUAUCUACAACCCUGCAUUAGCUAUCUCACUCUAGUUUGGCUAGCUGUCAGGACAGUCUGCUUACUCGAAGCUUGAGGCAUGUUUCUUUAAUAUAGUUUUCUUUUUCUUCUUGGAUAUUUAUAGCACAUAAUUGAUCCUGUGAAGUACUGCUAUAGAGAGGAAGACUAGUUCUUCUUAUUUAACAUCUCUUUGUGUUCUGCAUAUGCAUGAAAAGAAGGGCAUAGCUAGGUGAAAUGUUCUUUUGUUGGCUGUAUAAGACUUCAUUUUUUUAAUUUAUUUUUUUUAAACUUUUAGAUCAAUCGUUUGAAUUCUCUUCAAUAUUUUCUUGCUUCAUGUUCUCUUUGUUUUUGUGCAACAGUAUGAUAUUGGAAUAGGAAUGCUGCAAGACAAUCCAAAUAGAAGGUUAGUUUCAUCAUAUUUAUAUGGUUAAAAUUACUUCAAAAUUAUAUGGUUAAAGUUACUAUGUAAUGGUUGACUGUCACUGUUGUUUGCAUUGGCAGAUCAUGGAUGGAAUUCCUGCAAGAGCCAAGCACAAACUGUAUUCAGCGCUUCUCUGUUGAUGUUUCGUUUCUCGUUGCCGCCUUUCUUGCAGACCGGUUAGGGUUAGGUUACACCAUCUGCUUCAGGUGAUUUCGGGAAUGUGGAAUGUCUCCUCUUCAUUUGAGAAGAGAGAAAGAGUGUUUUGUUGGAAUAUUACUGGUGCGUAUGUUUAUGCAUGGCUUUUCAGGCUCAAAUCAAGGGGAAAAAAUAGACUAAUGGGCUGGUAAAUUUAUGUUCUGGUGGAUUUUCUCUAUGGCUUUAUUUAGUUCCAAGAAUCCUGGUGAACUCCGAAACUUAAAAUGAAAUCCUAAAAUUGUUUCUCUAACCUCCUAAAAUGGGCUGUUCUUUUUUUCUGGUCAACUAUUUCCCCCAACUUCCGGAACUUAAAAUGAAAUCCUAAAAUUUCUCGGCCUCUCUUGUUUCAGGUCAUCAGGCCCAACCGAGGCCUCUUCUCUCCUUUCGUCAUUCGGUCCCUCUAAUUUUGCUCUUCUGCUUGCGCACCAGGCGUCAUCGCUCACCGCGCCAGGAGCUUUUGCAGCGCCAGACGGCCCUGCUCUACACCACAGUAUUCUUCCUUGGAACCUGCGGGCUCCGGUGAGCCGCUUUGGGAUCUCCUAUUCGCGACUCUGGGUACCUCGCCGGGUUACAGUUGCCUUCAUUGUACUUCGUCAUUGCUCUCUAACUAGGUACUCGAUUAUGAACAGCGCGCCGGCUCAGUGAGUACUCGGUGAAGGCGAGCGCAACGAGCCCCAACACAUGUCAUCCGUCGAAAACUACAUAAUUUCCAGAGUAUGGAAUUUUCAGCGCGCGGUGUGACCAACACUAUCUUUAUAUGAUUAUAGCUGCAAACCAAGUUUUUAAGUAACAAAGCAAAUAAAACAGUCUCGUGUCAUUGCUCUAAAGGGGAGAAAGGAAGAACAGAAACAACGAUGUGCCAUUCCCCAGAAACAAAGAAACAACUGUAAAAAGUGGUUCUAGAUGAAGCUAAAUUGACCAUCGAUGGCGAUUGUGUCGACACGGCAAACAUCCAGACAGCUAGCAUUGACUGACUUGGCCUGUUGAGUACUCGAGGGAACUCGAUAGGUCUUAUGACAAGCCUCGAUUGACUCGAAUUAUUGACCUUCACUGUCCUUCGUCAUUGCUUUCUAACCUAGGUACUCGGUUAUGAACAGCGCGCCGGCUUGGGUACUCGGUGAAGGCGAGCGCAACGAGCCCCAGCACAUGGCAUCCAUGGAAAACUACAGAAUUUUCAGAGUAUGGAAUUUUCAGCGUGCGGUGUGGCCAACACUAUCUUUAUAUGAUUAUAUCUGCAAACCGAUUUUUUAAGUAACAAUGUCAAUAAAACACUCUCGUGUCAUUGCUCUAAAGGAGGAGAAAGGAAUAACAGAAACAACGCCGUGGCAUUCCCCAGAAGCAAAGAACAACGGGAAAACCACACCAUGAGAGAUGUCGUCUUGAACACUCUUGAUUGUGUUGACACGGCAAACAUCCAGACAGCUAGCAUUGACUGACUUGGCUGAUACAUCCACUUCACUGUUGAGUACUCCAGGGAACUCAAUAGGUCUUAUGACAAGUCUCGAUUGACUCGAGUUAUUCACUCAUACCUUGAUUUUUUCCUCCCCUUUCCUGUUGUCGUUCGGUCCAGAUGCCCAUUACCCAGUGCCUGUCAGUGUGUGCUUCUCCCUCCGAUUGCCCAUUACCUAACAAAUUGUAGUUUGCACCGUAAUUCCCUUAAAUCUGCUCCAACCAAGCACCACCUCUCAUGCAAGUCAACAUAUAUGGCAUUUGGUAUCAAUUCUGUAAAUACAAUUUCAAUCAUUCGCUGGUUAUAUUUUUAAAUGAAUUUAAUAUAAAUUUUGAUUAUCUAUUGCUUCUAAAUUCCUGUCGAAAUUAAUUUGAUAUUUUAUUAACCUAUAAUAUCCUAUACUUCAUUUUAUGAGGAAUCUAUCAGAAAAUGAAUUGUAAUUUUUAUGGCUCAUAUCUAUUUGCUCUCUUUAUUAGAUAUUUUUCUUUCCAGUUGUAUGUAAAUCAAACUUUUAUUUUAUUUUUAUCAUUCGGAGUUUUAGUUUUUUAUUACUUCCAUGUCAAGAUAAUAUUUUGAACAAGAUUCCAAUCAACCUUUUGAAAAUCUAACCACUAUAGACAGCUUUUAGAAUAUUCAGUUUGAAAAUUUAGAAUACUCAUUGAAAGACAUAAUAUAAUAUUUUGUAUGUUUAUAUAAUAUCUUCUUACUGAAAAUAGUGGCCACACAGCUAUGUUAUCCAAAACACCUUCUUUUCUUUAAGAACAGGGGAACGAUUGUUUCUUUUUCUAUUUUAUUAAUAUGAUAUUUUUAUAGUCAAUACGGAGACUUGUUUUCUCUUAGCUUUGCCUUAUUAAAAUAACAAUUGAAGAUUCCGUAACUAUGGUUGGGGGCAGAUAUUACUUCCAUGCGAGUUUAUAUUUUGGCCCCUGUUCGCUGGUCUUCCUCUCGAGUCAGCGGCCGGAAUGUGUGGUUCAGAGCAACCAGAGAACAGAAUAUCUACACACGAUUGAUUGGAAUUUGGAAACUGCAAACCAGUAGCGCAAUGGCUCCUGCCAAGGAUCGCCUCCACAACCUUCUGGUCCUGCUCUUGUUCAUAGGUUGCCUCUUCGUAGAUGCUGCCGCCAAGCUUAACACCACAGCGCCUUGCCUCCCGGAUCAAGCUUCUUCCCUCCUCCGGCUAAAAGCUUCCUUCAUCGGUGACAACCUACCAUCAUGGCAAGCUGCAACAGAUUGUUGCCACUGGGAGGGCGUCACCUGCGACAUGGCCUUUGGAAGAGUCAUUUCUCUUGACCUCAGUGAGUUCCAACUAAUGAGCAGGCGUCUUGAUCCUGCGCUCUUCAACCUCACCUCUCUCAGGUACCUCAGCCUUGCAUUUGUUGACUUCAGUGGAGUCUCGCUCCCGGCAUCUGGGUUUGAGCGGCUCACAGAUAUCAUUAACCUCGACCUCUCUUAUACCCGUUUUACGGGUAAGAUCCCAAUUGGAAUUGCGUGCCUCAAGAACCUUGUGAUCAUUCACUUGCUUGAUAAUUACGAAUUGUAUUUUGAACGGCCAAGUUUCCAAACCAUCAUGGCAAAUAUGAGCAAUCUGAGGGAGCUUUAUCUUGAUGGAGUGGAUUUACAUAACAUCGGAUCGGAUUGGUCCACUGUUUUAGCAGACUCCGUUCCCCAGCUACAGAUUCUUAGCUUGUCCGGGUGUCGUAUAUCAGGUUCUAUCCACCCUUCAUUCUCAAGUUUGAGGACGCUUGAUUUGUCCUGGAACCCCAUGCUUUCUGUGAGAUUAACAUAUUUCCCAGCUGGAAACAAUUUGGAAGUACUAAAUCUAGAAGGGACCAAUUUCUCUUAUGACACCCCAUCCUCGUUUGCCAAUCUUGAGUCUUUAAAGACAUUGAGGCUUAGCACGAUGGGAAUUGAUAAUGAACUCGCCUCUUUGAUAUCUGAGCUUCCAGCAUUGGAUGACCUGCGACUCAUUGGAUCAAAUUUGGAGAAACCGGUAUUAUCUUGGGUCAGCAAUCUUACCCAAUUGACAGUCCUGCGGCUUUAUGGUUAUGACUUCUCUAAAUCGGUUCCCACUUGGAUCGGCAAAUUGACAAGGCUGGAAAGUUUGAUGAUAUGGUAUUGCAGUUUCUCCGUGCCAAUACCAUACCAGAUUAGAAAUCUUACUAAAUUGGCAGCGCUGGACUUCUCAAGAUGCGACUUCGAGCAAAGAAUGCCAUCAUGGAUAGGCAAUCUUACAGAGUUGACUUCUUUGACCAUUGAUGAUUGCAGUUUAUCUGGGCCAAUACCCUCAACAAUUGGGAACCUGAUCCAACUUGAAUACUUGGAGUUCUGCGAUACUAACAUCAGCGGUGAGACUAUGUCCCAGUUACUUUCUUGAAUACCUCCUUUUAUUUUGCAACUGUAGACAGAUCAUACACCUACUGUAUGACACGCCAUGCAUACACCGUUAAAAAAAUAAUAAUGAAUUUAAGUGAAGAAGAAAAUUUAACACUACCAAAUCAACAGAGUGACCUUCAGAAAACAAGAAAAAGGCUUUGGCUAGUAAUUUUCGGCAAUGUUGAGAAAAGAAAAACCCUGAUAUUUUCACUUUGAGUCUAUGACCAAAUUUCCAUAGUUUAGUAGUUUGGAAGGUUAGAUGCCUUUAACACUAGUACACACGAGUCACGACUCAGGUCUUCUUUUCCUUCUUUUUUUCUCUCUUGACAUGAUACAUUCAGAUACCAUAAUACAGUAUUGGUCCAUUUACAAAUAUACCAAGGAAUAUUAAUUUUUUGGGACAGGCCUUUUUAUUAUUUUGACCAGAUUCACAUGUGACUGUUCUCCAACGAGAAAUCAACUUUAGUAUAUAUCAUUUGUAGAUCGAAACACUGGAUCUGUAAAAUAUAUAUCAACUUUCUCCGGUCUAAGGCCUAUUUGAAAAACCUGAGCGUGGUCUCUCUCUCCCUCUCUCCCUCUCUUUCUCAAACCUGAGCGUGAUCUGGAUUUUCUAGUACUUGUUAUGAUUUGUGAAGGAAGAGGACCCUUUCUUGUGGAAUUGGAAUUGGAUGGUGCAUUCCCAAAUUCUAAAAUCCAAACGGUACUUUCCUUUCCUCCAGAACGCAGUUACUUUAGUGUCCUUGCCCCGUUAGUGCCAUCACUUUUUUAGGCUAGUCUCAAUGCACAAUUUCAUUGCACUGUUACCAAAACUACAAACUUGUUAAUUGUGCCUGUUGGGUUUCAUAAGGAUGAAAUUCCUCUCUCAUUUCAUGUAACUCCAUCCUCUCUCUCCUCAUAAAGACCUUGCCAAAUCAACAAAAUUGCUAAUGUGGUGUAGAAAUUAAUGCUGAUAAAACUUUUUAUAAAACUCCCACUGAGACUGGCCUUAGAUUGCAGCAACAUUCAGAUAUGUUUAGCUCCAAUGUAAUGAGAUGCUAAUUUGGUUCAAUUUCAUACUGGUGCUUUCAGUGUGAAAAAGCAUUAAUAAAGUCUGCAACAUUCUGACUUUUAGUCUGCAACAUUCUGAAUGUUGGUAUUCUACCCUAACAUGCAGGAAAAAUUCCGAAGUCUUUGUUCGCUCUUCCAGUCCUGCAGUGUCUUCGUCUAGCUGAGAAUCAGCUUGUUGGCUCACUAGAAGACAUUCCUGCUCCUUUAUCAUCACCAUUGUGGGAGAUCGAUUUACAAGGUAAUCAAUUGACAGGUCCAAUACCAAAAUCACUUUUUCAGCUCACGAAUCUUGAGUAUCUCAAUCUUGGCUCGAAUAAAUUGAUAGGCACAAUAGAACUCGGCUCUAUAUGGAGGUUGAAAAAUCUCACUUAUCUCGACCUGGGUAACAAUAUGAUAUCACUUGUAGAAAAAGAAGGUGAUACGAUAUUCUCUUAUUCCCUUAAAAUCCAGACCUUAUACCUUGCAUCUUGCAACCUUACAAAAUUUCCGGAACCAUUAAAAUAUCUUGACACUAUUCAAUAUCUCGACCUUUCUAAAAACCAAAUCGAAGGGGCCAUACCAAGUUGGGUGUGGGAGAAACCACUGCGUCAGUUGAAC